CAAGUUCCUCUUAGUACAAAAUUUAAAUCUCUUUCAUUUAACAUGCCUGCACAAAGUACUCAGUAGGUGCCAAGCAAUGACUCACAACAAAGCCAGUUCCCAAUGGCUCUUGUUCUCAUUGGAAGUGAAGGCCAUAUUCUAUAUGUAUGUAUCCUCUCUGCCUUCAGUAGAGAAGGCAGGAACACUGGGAGGAAGGAAGAAGGUAAAAAAAUCUUUAUUAAAAUGCCUCCUGACAUGUCCACUUGGACUCUACUAGGCAAAUCAAAUGUCCUACAUUCCAUCCGAGCUCCUGAUCAUCUAUCCUAAAACCUGAGCACACUGCGCCUCCCCAUCCCCUGCCCAGUUAAGUUUCUCCACUUCAGUGGAUGGCCACUCCAUCCUUCCAGUUGCUCAGACCAAAAUCUUUGCAUCAGCCUGGACUCCUCACUUUCUCUCCCCCUCCAUACCCUGUAGAUCAGCAAAUCCUAUUGGCUCUACCUUCAAAAUACAUCCAGCAUCUGUCCACUCAUCACCACUCCACUUUCCCAUCCUGGUCUGUCCUCCACCUGAAUUGUUGCAAUGGCCUGUAAAGCAGCCUCCCUGCUCCUAGUCUAGUCUCAACCCAGGAGCCAGAGUGGCUGUGGUCCCUUUCAAACCUGAAUCAGGUCAUGGGACUUCUCUGAUGGCAAACUGCCAGUGGCUUCCUAACUCAUGCAAAAAAAGGAAGGCCAAAGUUCUUAAAAUGGCCUGGGAAGCUCCUCAUGUUUGGCACCAUCCAUCCCACACUCCCAUAAGGGUGAUUUGACCUAUUUGGCUUCACGUUGUACGACUCCAGGGAACACUGCUGCUCUCCUGCUUCAGCCAUGCUGGCUUUCGUGUGUGGUCAUGGUCCCUGCUCAGGGCCUUGGAGUUGGCUGUGACCUCUCCCUGGAGCACCUCCCCCAGGCAUCUGCGUGGCUCACUUCCUCUUUCCCUUGAAGUCUUGCCUCUGAUGGCUUACCUGGACCAUCCCUCCUACACACUCCCUGUUCAUUUCCCUUACCCUACUCUCACUUUCCAUGGUCAUCUUCUAGUAUACUAUGCACACUACUUAUUUUUAAAAAUAUGUAUUCUCGAUUCCACACAAAAGUCCCUCUCCCUCUCCCUCUCCC
RNAcentral lists this long non-coding RNA (1130 nucleotides) under Homo sapiens (human). Its description in RNAcentral is "non-protein coding lnc-TMSB4X-3:1". The record is from RNAcentral. Lineage: Eukaryota; Metazoa; Chordata; Mammalia; Primates; Hominidae.